This 506-nucleotide ribosomal RNA is filed under the name uncultured bacterium. RNAcentral's name for it is "bacterial SSU rRNA". It matches the Rfam family "Bacterial small subunit ribosomal RNA", at positions 29 to 507 of the family's 1533-position model. The record is from RNAcentral.
AUGAACGCUAGCGACAGGCCUAACACAUGCAAGUCGAGGGGCAUCGGGGCGUAGCAAUACGCUGCCGGCGACCGGCGGAUGGGUGAGUAACGCGUAUGCAACCUGCCUUCAGCAGGGGGAUAGCCCGUUGAAAGACGGAUUAAUACCCCGUAACACAGGGGCUCCGCAUGGAGAUUAUUGUUAAAGGGAUACUUCCUUCGGGGGGUAUUCCGGCUGAAGAUGGGCAUGCGUUCCAUUAGGUAGUUGGUUGAGGUAACGGCUCACCAAGCCUACGAUGGAUAGGGGAACUGAGAGGUUGGUCCCCCACACUGGUACUGAGACACGGACCAGACUCCUACGGGAGGCAGCAGUGAGGAAUCUUGGUCAAUGGACGGAAGUCUGAACCAGCCAUGUCGCGUGAAGGAGGACGGCCCUAAGGGUUGUAAACUUCUUUUGCAGCGGAAUAAAGUAUUCCACGAGAUGGGAUAUUGCAAGUACGCUGCGAAUAAGGAUCGGCUAACUCCGUG